Molecule: ribosomal RNA, 429 nt
Filed under: Chloroflexota bacterium
Lineage: Bacteria; Bacillati; Chloroflexota
Description: Chloroflexi bacterium partial 16S ribosomal RNA
Rfam family: Bacterial small subunit ribosomal RNA
Source: RNAcentral
UGGGGAAUAUUGCACAAUGGGCGCAAGCCUGAUGCAGCCAUGCCGCGUGUAUGAAGAAGGCCUUCGGGUUGUAAAGUACUUUCAGCGGGGAGGAAGGGAGUAAAGUUAAUACCUUUGCUCAUUUACGUUACCCGCAGAAGAAGCACCGGCUAACUCCGUGCCAGCAGCCGCGGUAAUACGGAGGGUGCAAGCGUUAAUCGGAAUUACUGGGCGUAAAGCGCACGCAGGCGGUUUGUUAAGUCAGAUGUGAAAUCCCCGGGCUCAACCUGGGAACUGCAUCUGAUACUGGCAAGCUUGAGUCUCGUAGAGGGGGGUAGAAUUCCAGGUGUAGCGGUGAAAUGCGUAGAGAUCUGGAGGAAUACCGGUGGCGAAGGCGGCCCCCUGGACGAAGACUGACGCUCAGGUGCGAAAGCGUGGGGAGCAAACAGG